AUCAAAAGCUUGAUUCCGCCAGAAGAUCGUCAUUAGUUAGGGUAAGGUGCAUUCCAACUGCAACAAUUGUCUUACCUCUGAAAUGGGGUAAUUCAAACUUGCCAAACGGCCAGGACUCAAGCAUUUCGCUCGGCAUUCAUGUUUUUCCUUUGAAAAGAUUAAAUUCUUGUUAGGCUGGUUUAGAUGAAGGUAUUAAGUGUCAAGGAAUGAACCUCAUUUCGUUGGCACUUGAAUACCAUCAUCUAAAGCACACCUAACAAAAAUUUAUUCUUUUCAAAGGAAAACAUGAAUGCCGGGUGAAAUGCUUGAGUCAGGUUGUUUGGCAAGUUUGAAUUUACCCCAUUCAAAGGUAAGACAAUUGUUGUAGUUGGAAUGCACAUUCCAACUGCAACAAUUAUCUUACUCUGGAUGGGGCAAUUCAAACUUGUUAA
RNAcentral lists this microRNA precursor (431 nucleotides) under Medicago truncatula (barrel medic). Its description in RNAcentral is "miR2592ay stem-loop (mtr-MIR2592ay)". The record is from miRBase by way of RNAcentral. Lineage: Eukaryota; Viridiplantae; Streptophyta; Magnoliopsida; Fabales; Fabaceae.